RNAcentral lists this ribosomal RNA (677 nucleotides) under uncultured euryarchaeote. RNAcentral describes it as "bacterial SSU rRNA". It matches the Rfam family "Archaeal small subunit ribosomal RNA", at positions 84 to 764 of the family's 1478-position model. Lineage: Archaea; Methanobacteriati; Methanobacteriota. The record is from RNAcentral.
UACGGCUCAGUAACACGUAGGUAACCUACCCUCAGGACUGAGAUAACCCCGGGAAACUGGGGCUAAUAUUAGAUAGAUAAAAGAUACUGGAAUGUUCUUUUAUCCAAAGCUUUUGCGCCUGAGGAUGGGCCUGCGUCCGAUUAGGUCGUUGGUGGGGUAAUGGCCCACCAAGCCUGCGAUCGGUACGGGCAGUGGAAGCUGAAGCCCGGAGUUGGGGACUGAGACAAGGCCCCAGGCCCUACGGGGCGCAGCAGGCGCGAAGCCUCUGCAAUGCGGGAAACCGUGACAGGGGGAUCCCAAGUGCUCAUGCAUUGCAUGGGCUGUUCUUUGGUCUAAGUAACCAGAGGAGUAAGGGCUGGGCAAGACCGGUGCCAGCCGCCGCGGUAAUACCGGCAGCUCAAGUGGUAGCCGCGAUUAUUGGGCCUAAAACGUUCGUAGCCGGAUAAGUAAGUCUUUGGUUAAAUCCUGCGACUCAACCGUGGGAAUUCUAGAGAUACUGCUCGUCUUGAGACCGGGAGAGGUUGGAGGUACUCCUAGGGUAGGGGUGAAAUCCUGUAAUCCUAGGGGGACCACCUGUGGCGAAGGCGUCCAACUGGAACGGGUCUGACGGUGAGGGACGAAACCUAGGGGAGCGAGCCGGAUURGAUACCCGGGUAGUCCUAGGCGUAAAUGAUGCG